RNAcentral lists this ribosomal RNA (474 nucleotides) under uncultured bacterium. RNAcentral's name for it is "bacterial SSU rRNA". It matches the Rfam family "Bacterial small subunit ribosomal RNA", at positions 328 to 793 of the family's 1533-position model. The record is from RNAcentral.
CGCUAUCACUCCUACGGGAGGCAGCAGUGGGGAAUUUUGGACAAUGGGCGCAAGCCUGAUCCAGCAAUGCCGCGUGCAGGAAGAAGGCCUUCGGGUUGUAAACUGCUUUUGUCAGGGAAGAAAUCCUUUGGGGCUAAUACCUCGGAGGGAUGACGGUACCUGAAGAAUAAGCACCGGCUAACUACGUGCCAGCAGCCGCGGUAAUACGUAGGGUGCGAGCGUUAAUCGGAAUUACUGGGCGUAAAGCGUGCGCAGGCGGCUUUGCAAGACAGAGGUGAAAUCCCCCGGGCUCAACCUGGAACUGCCUUUGUGACUGCAAGGCUAGAGUACGGCAGAGGGGGAUGGAAUUCCGCGUGUAGCAGUGAAAUGCGUAGAUAUGCGGAGGAACACCGAUGGCGAAGGCAAUCCCCUGGGCCUGUACUGACGCUCAUGCACGAAAGCGUGGGGAGCAAACAGGAUUAGAUACCCUGGUAG